This 674-nucleotide ribosomal RNA is filed under the name Serratia ureilytica. RNAcentral describes it as "bacterial SSU rRNA". It matches the Rfam family "Bacterial small subunit ribosomal RNA", at positions 815 to 1489 of the family's 1533-position model. Lineage: Bacteria; Pseudomonadati; Pseudomonadota; Gammaproteobacteria; Enterobacterales; Yersiniaceae. The record is from RNAcentral.
UUUGGGAGGUUGUGCCCUUGAGGCGUGGCUUCCGGAGCUAACGCGUUAAAUCGACCGCCUGGGGAGUACGGCCGCAAGGUUAAAACUCAAAUGAAUUGACGGGGGCCCGCACAAGCGGUGGAGCAUGUGGUUUAAUUCGAUGCAACGCGAAGAACCUUACCUACUCUUGACAUCCAGAGAACUUUCCAGAGAUGGUUUGGUGCCUUCGGGAACUCUGAGACAGGUGCUGCAUGGCUGUCGUCAGCUCGUGUUGUGAAAUGUUGGGUUAAGUCCCGCAACGAGCGCAACCCUUAUCCUUUGUUGCCAGCGGUUCGGCCGGGAACUCAAAGGAGACUGCCAGUGAUAAACUGGAGGAAGGUGGGGAUGACGUCAAGUCAUCAUGGCCCUUACGAGUAGGGCUACACACGUGCUACAAUGGCGUAUACAAAGAGAAGCGACCUCGCGAGAGCAAGCGGACCUCAUAAAGUACGUCGUAGUCCGGAUUGGAGUCUGCAACUCGACUCCAUGAAGUCGGAAUCGCUAGUAAUCGUAGAUCAGAAUGCUACGGUGAAUACGUUCCCGGGCCUUGUACACACCGCCCGUCACACCAUGGGAGUGGGUUGCAAAAGAAGUAGGUAGCUUAACCUUCGGGAGGGCGCUUACCACUUUGUGAUUCAUGACUGGGGUGAAGUCGA